This 589-nucleotide long non-coding RNA is filed under the name Homo sapiens (human). RNAcentral's name for it is "HSALNT0345529". Lineage: Eukaryota; Metazoa; Chordata; Mammalia; Primates; Hominidae. The record is from RNAcentral.
GGUGAACCACCAUGCCUGGCACCCCCUCAGCUUUAUUAAGGUCUGUUCGAGGCUAAAUUGUUUUCCUCAAAAUUGCAUAUGUUGAAGCUCUAACCCUCCCCAACCGUAGAAUGUGACUGUAUUGGAGAUGGGACCUUCGAAAAGUUGAUUAAGGCAGAAUAAGGCGUUAGACUGGGCCCUAAUCUAAUCUGACUGGUAUCCUUAUAAGAAGAGGACAUUGAGAUUCACGGAGACACCAAGAUUUGCACGUAGAGGAAAGACCCUGUGGGAACGCACCAAGAAGGCAGCCAUCUGCAACCCAAGGAGGGAGGCCCCAGGAAAAGGCCCCUGCCGCCAUCUUGAUCCAGGACUUCCGCCAUCUUGACCCAGGACUGCUACUCUCCCAAGCAGUGAGAAAAAUCCAUUUCUGUUGUUUAAGCCACUCAGCCUGUGGCAUUUUGUUAUGGCAGCUCCAAUUGGAGAAGUGACGACGCUGAGUGGACAGAAGUAGAAUGAAAAACUCAACCUGUGAAGCACCCUGAUGUACCAAAUGACUUUUUUUUUUUCUUUUUGAGAUGGAGUCUUGCUCUGUUGCCCAGGCUGGAGUGAU